Gallus gallus (chicken) is the source of this 1864-nucleotide long non-coding RNA. NCBI's taxonomy places the organism in Eukaryota, Metazoa, Chordata, Aves, Galliformes, Phasianidae. The record is from Ensembl.
AGAUAACGUAACAAAACCCUCUGCAGAAAAGAAAAAGAAAAAAGAAAAAAAAAAGGAAAGAAUGCAGCAUUUAAAGCCGCUUUUCAGAAGAGGAGUCUCUCCCGUUAGCGCCCCGAUCUUUUCUGUGCCGUAUGAAUGGAGAUGGAGGUGCCCACUGUGCUGACAACCACUGCUGGGGGCUGAGCAGAGCGGGGCUGCCCUCAGUCCCAUACCUCUGCAGCAGUGCCUCGGGAGCCAUUUGGUGGAGCACUGUUGGCUCUCUGGCCGAUGAUCUGCAGAAGACGAUGGAGCUACGCACAGAUGUUGUGAAGGAGUUUCGGAUAUAAUGCGUGGAUUUCCUUCGAGCUUGUAAAAUGAUUAACUUAUUUGAUUUCAACAUCUAAUCGCGAAAUAAUUACCUAGCCCAGCCCCGAGAUACCUUGGCAGAGUUGUUGGAGAUACUUUGGCACAGACAAAAAGCUCCCGCAGGAAGGCAUCCAUCUUCCUGCACCAGUGAAAUUGGUCCUUGGAAACGAAGGGCGCAGCUCCGCCCCGGCUCCUGCACACCCAUAGCUCCCAGACACGUCCCUGCACACCGGCCCAGCCGGCUCGGGCUGCAUAUGGCAGCAUGACCUAAUUUAUUGGGCUCUGCUGGACAAAAUCUGCGUGGUGGAAGGCUUAUUGGCCGCCUCUCAUGGGCUGUAAUUUGCCCAAGGAGCUGCUGGGCAGGAAACUCACUUAACCUCAGUGAUGGCAAGGACAGAUUAAAGAGAGCUGGGCUCAAAAACAAGCAGGUCUCGAGCACCCUUCUUAAUAAAGAAAAACAAACCACAGCACUAACUGGAGCAAUUGGACGGAGCAGCAACUGAGGCUCGAGCCUGAGAGAGGAGGGACAGCCUGAACUCACGUGGGAGGGAUGUCACACUGGGGAUGCUCCAACGCAGAGCAGGUGUGCCUGCUGCAUAUGAAGCAGAGAAGACCAAGACCACCGCAGGCAGAAAUCCACCUGCAAGGUCUCUACCCAGCCUUCUGCUUUUUGACCACAGCAUCAUAAGUCAUGUUCUGCCAUCACUCCCUCCUGGCAGCACCAAAGCGUAGCUCAGAGCACCUGGGGGAUCAGAUCACCCCCAGAACACACAGCUCAGCCCAAACUGACCACUUCCACGUUGCUCAGUCCUUGUGUGUUGUGGCUGGGGUGGGAAUCCCAUCCUGCCCUCAGAAGUGGGGGAAAGUGUUGAUGAUAUAAGUGAAAAAUACUGGAAACAAAAUGGAGAGCACUGAAAUCUGAAAUGGGACGGCUGGCAAGGGAACCAACCUUCCUGAAGGCUGCUCUGGGAGUGGGGGGACCUCCUUCUGCCAGGUGAGCUGGUCACACUUGCCAUAGGGCUGCUAUCUCUGGCAUUCCAACAUUCACAUUCAGCAGAACAGAGUGAGGUCAGCAGCGGGACAGUUUCUCCCACUGAAAUUAGCACAAGCACAGGGAAGGAACAUUAUGAGAGCUACCGAAAGCGUUCUUUAUCAGCUCGACCUAGAGACCAGAUGUUUUGCUACAAACUCUUUGGCUCUCGGUGGUUCACAAGCGCUCUCUGCCACCUUCGCACAUCAAACGUCAGCAGCGCAAAGAGUGUUUUGAAUCUCAGCAGAACUCCAGACUUUCAGGAGGGCCAUUAUUUCUGGGAGAAGGAAUUAUUUAAAUGGAAUCCUCACACCCAGGAGCCUCCUGGCUGUUUCUUCCUGCUCAGGGUAAUUCUCUGGCGGACGCCUUGCAGCUUCCACCCCGAUACUGAGAGGCUGAGGCACAUCUCCACCAACCCUCGGACUGCGUUAAUCACAUGAGAUAUUUUGUUUACGAAGCUCAGCUCUACAAAGCCCAACCUGGAAGCAG